Molecule: non-coding RNA, 26 nt
Filed under: Homo sapiens (human)
Lineage: Eukaryota; Metazoa; Chordata; Mammalia; Primates; Hominidae
Source: RNAcentral
UGAGGGAUGAGUAGGAGUUUCCCAGG